Molecule: ribosomal RNA, 279 nt
Filed under: uncultured bacterium
Lineage: Bacteria
Description: partial 16S ribosomal RNA
Rfam family: Bacterial small subunit ribosomal RNA
Source: RNAcentral
UGCCAGCCGCCGCGGUAAUACGAACCGUCCAAACGUUAUUCGGUAUCACUGGGCUUAAAGGGUCCGCAGGCGGCCGUGCAAGUUGAGGGUGAAAUCCCCGGGCUCAACCCGGGAACUGCAACUGAUACUGGUGGACUCGAGGACGGUAGGGGUGAGUGGAACUCCAGGUGGAGCGGUGAAAUGCGUAGAUAUCUGGAGGAACACCGGUGGCGAAAGCGACUCACUGGACCGUCUCUGACGCUGAGGUGCGAAAGCUAGGGUAGCAAACGGGAUUAGAUA